CCAAUAGCGUAUAUUAAAGUUGUUGCAGUUAAAAAGCUCGUAGUUGAAUUUUGGAUUCUUCCAAUUGGUCCAUCUUUUAGAUGAGUACUGGUUGUGUGGGGUCUAUCCGCCUGGUGAUACGUAAUGUCCUUUAUUGGAUGUUGCGGGUAGUCAGGACCUUUACCUUGAAAAAAUUAGAGUGUUUAAAGCAGGCUUAUGCCGGAAUACAUUAGCAUGGAAUAAUAGAAUAGGACGAAGUUGUUUUAUUUUGUUGGUUUCUAGGACAACCGUAAUGAUUAAUAGGGAUAGUUGGGGGCAUUAGUAUUCAAUUGUCAGAGGUGAAAUUCUUGGAUUUAUUGAAGACUAACUACUGCGAAAGCAUUUGCCAAGGAUGUUUUCAUUAAUCAAGAACGAAAGUUAAGGGAUCGAAGACGAUCAGAUACCGUCGUAGUCUUAACCAUAAACUAUGCCGGCUAGGGAUCGGGCGAUGUUGUUUCCAUGACUCGCUCGGCACCUUAUG
This 499-nucleotide ribosomal RNA is filed under the name uncultured Glomeromycotina. RNAcentral describes it as "partial small subunit ribosomal RNA". It matches the Rfam family "Eukaryotic small subunit ribosomal RNA", at positions 591 to 1092 of the family's 1831-position model. The record is from RNAcentral. Lineage: Eukaryota; Fungi; Glomeromycota.